This 492-nucleotide ribosomal RNA is filed under the name uncultured bacterium. RNAcentral describes it as "partial 16S ribosomal RNA". It matches the Rfam family "Bacterial small subunit ribosomal RNA", at positions 29 to 507 of the family's 1533-position model. The record is from RNAcentral.
AGUGAACGCUGGCGGUAGGCCUAACACAUGCAAGUCGAACGGCAGCACAGUAAGAGCUUGCUCUUACGGGUGGCGAGUGGCGGACGGGUGAGGAAUACAUCGGAAUCUACUUUUUCGUGGGGGAUAACGUAGGGAAACUUACGCUAAUACCGCAUACGACCUACGGGUGAAAGCAGGGGAUCUUCGGACCUUGCGCGAUUGAAUGAGCCGAUGUCGGAUUAGCUAGUUGGCGGGGUAAAGGCCCACCAAGGCGGCGAUCCGUAGCUGGUCUGAGAGGAUGGUCAGCCACACUGGAACUGAGACACGGUCCAGACUCCUACGGGAGGCAGCAGUGGGGAAUAUUGGACAAUGGGCGCAAGCCUGAUCCAGCCAUACCGCGUGGGUGAAGAAGGCCUUCGGGUUGUAAAGCCCUUUUGUUGGGAAAGAAAAGCAGCAGGUUGAUACCCCGCUGUUCUGACGGUACCCAAAGAAGAAGCACCGGCUAACUUCGUG